RNAcentral lists this long non-coding RNA (611 nucleotides) under Bos grunniens (domestic yak). RNAcentral's name for it is "lncRNA (ENSBGRG00000002047.1)". The record is from RNAcentral. Lineage: Eukaryota; Metazoa; Chordata; Mammalia; Artiodactyla; Bovidae.
CCCAAGUGUUUAAAGAGAUGCAGUUCCUACAGUUUGCAGCAAGUGUCAUCCGAGAGCUACUGAACAACCCAGGUCACGCCUGAGACCUAAAAGUUUAGAGAAAACUGGUGUCGUGCGUAUCAUGUAAUACAGGACACGGGUACGUAUCAACCGGAGUGAACAAUCCUAGAAAAGAAAGAAAAAACAUCAUACCAUCGCAGACGACAGCGUUUAAGGAGAUUAGUUUCUUGCAGGAAGCAGAACAGAAGAGCCUAUGACUUACAGUCCUGGAGUCCUAUGUGGAGUCAAAGCAGAAACGGAGGAACUUUUUUCAUCAUAUGGAAUAAUUAAAGUCAGAGCUAGGUGAAAGAUUUUCCCCUCUUUGGGCUGUGUUUCAUCAACUGAGAAGAAAUUCUCUUUCCUGAUAAUCCUCCCUGAAAUGUAACAUUCUUUUCACCUAUAUACUCAAUUGAAAAAAAAAAAAGUGCUAGCAACACAUCGGAAGAUUCCUUGUACCCAUCUAAAAGUUAAUUCCUCUUCAGUGCUUUGCAAGUAAUCCAACACACUGCACUUCAAAAAAAAAAAGGCUGCAGAGGCCUCUAUUAAAGCUGUUCUUUUUAUAAAAGUGCAGU